Molecule: ribosomal RNA, 512 nt
Filed under: uncultured bacterium
Lineage: Bacteria
Description: partial 16S ribosomal RNA
Rfam family: Bacterial small subunit ribosomal RNA
Source: RNAcentral
GACGAACGCUGGCGGCGUGCCUAAUACAUGCAAGUCGAGCGGAACUGGGGGAGCUUGCUCCUUCCAGUUUAGCGGCGGACGGGUGAGUAACACGUGGGCAACCUGCCCUGCAGAUCGGGAUAACUCCGGGAAACCGGUGCUAAUACCGAAUAGUUUGGCGCCUCUCCUGAGGCGCUACGGAAAGACGGUUUCGGCUGUCACUGCAGGAUGGGCCCGCGGCGCAUUAGCUAGUUGGUGGGGUAACGGCCCACCAAGGCGACGAUGCGUAGCCGACCUGAGAGGGUGACCUGCCACACUGGGACUGAGACACGGCCCAGGCUCCUACGGGAGGCAGCAGUAGGGAAUCUUCCGCAAUGGACGCAAGUCUGACGGAGCAACGCCGCGUGAGUGACGAAGGUUUUCGGAUCGUAAAACUCUGUUGUGAGGGAAGAACACGUACCAACUAACUAUUGGUACCUUGACGGUACCUCGCCAGAAAGCCACGGCUAACUACGUGCCAGCAGCCGCCGUAA